RNAcentral lists this ribosomal RNA (332 nucleotides) under uncultured eukaryote. RNAcentral's name for it is "partial 18S ribosomal RNA". It matches the Rfam family "Eukaryotic small subunit ribosomal RNA", at positions 1470 to 1796 of the family's 1831-position model. The record is from RNAcentral.
CCCUUAGAUGUCCGGGGCCGCACGCGCGCUACACUGAAGGAAUCAGCGUGGCUUUCUCCCUGACCCGAAAGGGUUGGGAAACCCGUUGAAUCUCCUUCGUGAUAGGGAUUGGGGCUUGAAAUUGUUCCCCAUGAACGAGGAAUUCCCAGUAAGCGCGAGUCAUAAGCUCGCGUUGAUUACGUCCCUGCCCUUUGUACACACCGCCCGUCGCUACUACCGAUUGAACGGUUUAGUGAGAUCUCCGGAUUGGCUCUGUAGGUCCCGCAAGGGAUUUAUUAGUAGCCAAGAAGCUGCUCAAACUUGAUCAUUUAGAGGAAGUAAAAGUCGUAACA